GAUGAACGCUGGCGGCGUGCCUAAUACAUGCAAGUCGAGCGAACGGACGAGAAGCUUGCUUUUCUGAUGUUAGCGGCGGACGGGUGAGUAACACGUGGAUAACCUACCUAUAAGACUGGGAUAACUUCGGGAAACCGGAGCUAAUACCGGAUAAUAUUUUGAACCGCAUGGUUCAUAAGUGAAAGACGGUCUUGCUGUCACUUAUAGAUGGAUCCGCGCUGCAUUAGCUAGUUGGUAAGGUAACGGCUUACCAAGGCAACGAUGCAUAGCCGACCUGAGAGGGUGAUCGGCCACACUGGAACUGAGACACGGUCCAGACUCCUACGGGAGGCAGCAGUAGGGAAUCUUCCGCAAUGGGCGAAAGCCUGACGGAGCAACGCCGCGUGAGUGAUGAAGGUCUUCGGAUCGUAAAACUCUGUUAUUAGGGAAGAACAUAUGUGUAAGUAACUGUGCACAUAUUGACGGUACCUAAUCAGAAAGCCACGGCUAACUACGUG
This 497-nucleotide ribosomal RNA is filed under the name uncultured bacterium. RNAcentral's name for it is "partial 16S ribosomal RNA". It matches the Rfam family "Bacterial small subunit ribosomal RNA", at positions 28 to 507 of the family's 1533-position model. The record is from RNAcentral.